ACGCUGGCGGCGUGCUUAACACAUGCAAGUCGAACGAUGAAGCCUAGCUUGCUAGGUGGAUUAGCGGCGAACGGGUGAGUAAUACGUGAGUAACCUACCUUUAACUCUGGGAUAAGCCUGGGAAACUGGGUCUAAUACCGGAUACGACCAAUCUCCGCAUGGGGUGUUGGUGGAAAGCGUUAUGUAGUGGUUAUAGAUGGGCUCACGGCCUAUCAGCUUGUUGGUGAGGUAACGGCUCACCAAGGCGACGACGGGUAGCCGGCCUGGGAGGGUGACCGGCCACACUGGGACUGAGACACGGCCCAGACUCCUACGGGAGGCAGCAGUGGGGAAUAUUGCACAAUGGGCGCAAGCCUGAUGCAGCGACGCCGCGUGAGGGAUGACGGCCUUCGGGUUGUAAACCUCUGUUAGCAGGGAAGAAGAGAAAUUGACGGUACCUGCAGAGAAAGCGCCGGCUAACUACGUGCCAGCAGCCGCGGUAAUACGUAGGGCGCGAGCGUUGUCCGGAAUUAUUGGGCGUAAAGAGCUUGUAGGCGGUUUGUCGCGUCUGCUGUGAAAGGCCGGGGCUUAACCCCGUGUAUUGCAGUGGGUACGGGCAGACUAGAGUGCAGUAGGGGAGACUGGAACUCCUGGUGUAGCGGUGGAGUGCGCAGAUAUCAGGAAGAACACCGAUGGCGAAGGCAGGUCUCUGGGCUGUAACUGACGCUGAGAAGCGAAAGCAUGGGGAGCGAACAGGAUUAGAUACCCUGGUAGUCCAUGCCGUAAACGUUGGGCACUAGGUGUGGGGGACAUUCCACGUUUUCCGCGCCGUAGCUAACGCAUUAAGUGCCCCGCCUGGGGAGUACGGCCGCAAGGCUAAAACUCAAAGAAAUUGACGGGGGCCCGCACAAGCGGCGGAGCAUGCGGAUUAAUUCGAUGCAACGCGAAGAA
This 930-nucleotide ribosomal RNA is filed under the name uncultured bacterium. RNAcentral describes it as "bacterial SSU rRNA". It matches the Rfam family "Bacterial small subunit ribosomal RNA", at positions 33 to 968 of the family's 1533-position model. The record is from RNAcentral.